Molecule: ribosomal RNA, 468 nt
Filed under: uncultured bacterium
Lineage: Bacteria
Description: partial 16S ribosomal RNA
Rfam family: Bacterial small subunit ribosomal RNA
Source: RNAcentral
GACGAACGCUGGCGGCGUGCUUAACACAUGCAAGUCGAACGGAAAGGCCCUGCUUUUGUGGGGUGCUCGAGUGGCGAACGGGUGAGUAACACGUGAGUAACCUGCCCUUGACUUUGGGAUAACUUCAGGAAACUGGGGCUAAUACCGGAUAGGAGCUCCUGCUGCAUGGUGGGGGUUGGAAAGUUUCGGCGGUUGGGGAUGGACUCGCGGCUUAUCAGCUUGUUGGUGGGGUAGUGGCUUACCAAGGCUUUGACGGGUAGCCGGCCUGAGAGGGUGAACGGCCACAUUGGGACUGAGAUAAGGCCCAGACUCCUACGGGAGGCAGCAGUGGGGAAUAAUGCACAAUGGGCGGAAGCCUGAUGCAGCAACGACGAGUGCGGGAUGACGGCCUUAGGGUUGUAAACCGCUUUCGCCUGUGACGAAGCGUGAGUGACGGUAAUGGGUAAAGAAGCACCGGCUAACUACGUG